Molecule: ribosomal RNA, 253 nt
Filed under: uncultured bacterium
Lineage: Bacteria
Description: partial 16S ribosomal RNA
Rfam family: Bacterial small subunit ribosomal RNA
Source: RNAcentral
UACGUAGGGGGCAAGCGUUGUCCGGAAUCAUUGGGCGUAAAGCGCGCGUAGGCGGCCCGGUAAGUCCGUUGUGAAAGUCAAAGGCUCAACCUUUGAACGCCGAUGGAUACUGCCGGGCUAGAGUCCGGAAGAGGCGAGUGGAAUUCCUGGUGUAGCGGUGGAAUGCGCAGAUAUCAGGAGGAACACCAAUAGCGAAGGCAGCUCGCUGGGACGGUACUGACGCUGAGGCGCGAAAGCCAGGGGAGCAAACGGG